GAAGGGCAGGGCCAGGCCACUGUGGCCAUUCUCCCCCAGUUCUAAGAGGCCUUCCCAGGCGUGUCAAGUGGAGCUGCUGUGGUUACAGUGGCCUUGGGAGCUCAGAGAGGUUGAGACAUAGGUUGGGCUCACACAGCCAGGUAACAGCAAAGUGGGGUUGGAGUCAGGGCCUAGGGUGGCAGCUGCCAAGCUCUGCAACAAAGCUGUUUUCUGCGGGAGUCUGAGGACCACACACCACUUCCCACUCCAGGCUGAGCUGGAGAUCCAGAAAGACGCCCUGGAGCCAGGACAGAGGGUGGUCGUGGUGGAUGAUCUGCUGGCCACUGGUGGAACCAUGAACGCCGCCUGUGAGCUGCUGGGGCACCUGCAGGCUGAGGUCCUGGAGUGCAUGAGCCUGGUGGAGCUGACCUCGCUUAAGGGCAGGGAGAAGCUGGCACCUGUACCCUUCUUCUCUCUCCUGCAGUAUGAGUGACUGCAGGGCCUCCCAGC
This 489-nucleotide small RNA is filed under the name Pongo abelii (Sumatran orangutan). RNAcentral's name for it is "retained intron". Lineage: Eukaryota; Metazoa; Chordata; Mammalia; Primates; Hominidae. The record is from RNAcentral.